UCAAACUUUCAUUUGUUUUAGCAUUACUGUCUUUGAGAGCUUUGAUAUGCAAUAGGAUAUAAAAUUAAAUAAAUCAUAAUCUGUUCAGGCUGCUAUGAGCAAGAUCUAGCUCUUUCCUUGGACAGAUGGAAAACAUAUCCAGAGGACCAUGAUGUGAACACCAGACCAGAAAUUAUGGGCAGGUCUGUACCUUAAAAUUGAGAAGCAUGCAGCUCAGCGUAGAGGAAAACAAGGGGGCAGAGCAAUGCAGACUCUGAAGCACAGGUAACAUGAAUCUAGAGAAGAGCAUAUUGAUGUCACAGGCCAUGGAAGAACAUGGAAGACAAAAGAUGAGUUGAAGAUUCCAGUCUGAAUGUCCAGUGUGAUGAUGGCAGAGUGAUGAGGCCAGAAUGCCACCCCUUGACUUUUGGAAACAGAGAGAGAAAGAGGGGAAGGAAACUGAGCUGAAAUUUCCUGUAACACUAAAGAGUGGAGCUAUAUUUGGCACAGUACAAAGUGGCUCUCAGUGUUAAGUUCCUGUAUCCUUUUGCACAGGCCUGUUUCAACUAUCUUUCUGAGAAUCAGGAGGUUACCGGUGACAAGGCUGAAUAUCAGGCAUCAAAGGCUUUGAAAUAUACAAGAAAGAACUCAUACCUGUCCAGAGAUGCCAUUCUGAAGAGGAAUAGCCAAAACAUGAUAUGGAGAUUGUGUUGGAAAUAUUUCAGAUUCACGUUUCUCUAGUGUUGGAAAGAAAUAUGGAGGGAAGAGUGUUGUCAUCCCUUCACUGCAGAAAUUCUUUAUGAAGAGCCCUUAGAAGAAGCCUAAUGAACUUCAGAGCCCCAGGAUUCUCUGGGAUGCAGGACACUGUAUCUGCUGAAGAAGGAGGGUCAGAGAUGAGGAUCUAGAGUCUCCUCCAAGUCCCUGAGAAUGGAGGAAAACAAGUAGACGUGCUCAGCUCA
This 938-nucleotide long non-coding RNA is filed under the name Pogona vitticeps (central bearded dragon). Its description in RNAcentral is "lncRNA (ENSPVIG00000025291.1)". Lineage: Eukaryota; Metazoa; Chordata; Lepidosauria; Squamata; Agamidae. The record is from RNAcentral.